UCGAACAAGUGACACUUUCCUAUCCCGGUCUCACGCCGCUUGCGUAUUCUCCCUACUUCCAAGACUAGUCACAGCAGCACUUAAUGGCUCAGCCAAUCACUGGCCAGAGCAGUGUCUAGUCUUUGCUAGUCUUGCUCCACCACCUCAUCUUGGAAGCAGAGAGAAGAUGAGUAGCAGGGCACCGGGAAUGAGUGUCAAUGGGAGCUGCUGGGGACGAAAGCAGGUUAUUACAGAAUGCAGGCAGAAUGUUAUCUUGAGAUCCAUGAAAAUUGGUUACUACCUUUGGAAGGAAGGCAAGAUUUAAUUUCAAGAUGAUCUCAUCUUCAAGGACGGUCAAAUAAGUGGACGAGGCUUUAAUUUCACCUACUCUUCUGGCUUAGAAGUGUUCCGGCGUAUGGCACCAUCUUGGAGGCGGGACUUCCGGUGGUCAACCAAUCAGGGAGCGUGUACGUGUGACGUCACGGACCUGAGGCCAGCCAGAAUGCAGCCAGGGGAACCAUGAAGCACCCGAGGCCAGCCAGGAAACGGUCCCACCAAAUAAACUCCUGGAGCGCCGCAGAGGACCAGGAGUGGGACCAGAGAGGCACCUCCAAAGAGGCACGAGCUGGUGUGCAGAAGAGGGGGACCCAGCAGUGCCCGACUUGAACUGCAUGGACUCCAAACAAACCUGUCCUGGAUCAUAGAGGUAACAACCUCUCUGUACUGCUGCUCCAUAGUUACAGGAAAACACUUAAUGGGUUGAAGGGGAGGGGCCUUUUUAACCCCUCUGUGCUUCCUGUUCUUAUGUAGGUCUAUGGGGC
Molecule: long non-coding RNA, 800 nt
Organism: Hyla sarda
Lineage: Eukaryota; Metazoa; Chordata; Amphibia; Anura; Hylidae
Exons: 3
Source: RefSeq, a predicted model, not a curated record